Pezoporus occidentalis (night parrot) is the source of this 325-nucleotide long non-coding RNA. RefSeq lists it as uncharacterized. The transcript is spliced from 2 exons. Lineage: Eukaryota; Metazoa; Chordata; Aves; Psittaciformes; Psittacidae. The record is from RefSeq and is a predicted model, not a curated record.
GGAAGAAGUCAAGUGUUAGACUGUGUUGUUUUUCUGCUAUGCUGGGUCACCUGUUCGAGUGCUUUGUGUCUUUGCUUUUAAUGUGUGCUAUUAACAGGAAAUGCGUCUAUAAAAGAGUGACUGCAGGUUUCUUGUGACUUUCUCUGUAUUUCAGGCACUGAACAGUACGUGACAGCACUGCAGGUGCCUGCCUAAAGGAAGCUCUGCUGGGAUUUAUUGAUGUAAUUUCUGUAUAAGCAGGGUAAAGAUAUUUUUGUGGUAUUUUAGAACUCAAUGUGCUUUAAAAGUUGUGGGAAUUUUUUUAUAAAGCAGAAUUUGGCACAAA